Molecule: ribosomal RNA, 253 nt
Filed under: uncultured bacterium
Lineage: Bacteria
Description: partial 16S ribosomal RNA
Rfam family: Bacterial small subunit ribosomal RNA
Source: RNAcentral
UACGUAGGGUGCAAGCGUUGUUCGGAAUUACUGGGCGUAAAGGGCGCGUAGGCGGCCUGCCAAGUCGGGAGUGAAAGCCCGGGGCUCAACCCCGGAAUGUCUUUCGAAACUGGCAAGCUAGAGUGCAGAAGGGGCAACUGGAAUUCCUAGUGUAGCGGUGAAAUGCGUAGAGAUGUGGAGGAACACCGAUGGCGAAGGCAGCCCCCUGGGUCAAAACUGACGCUCAUGCACGAAAGCGUGGGGAGCAAACAGG